AAACAGUUUUUAUUGCUUGCCAGUAGUCUAAUACAGAAGUUCCAAUGGUCGGUACACUGCAUUAAUUUUUGAAAUUUUACGAGCUUUUUUUAAUUAAAAGCAUUCAUAACAAUUCAGUUCUAAAAAAAUAUGUUAAAAAUACUAUUUUUCCAUUUGUUUGACAUACAAAAUGCAAGCCGAUAAACUCAGGUGUUGGAUUGGCGUUCAAUUUUAUACUUUGUUCAUUUAUACUUUGUAAUUUAUUUAACAUUGUGUUCUAGCUAGCCUUGAUAGAAAAUGUGUAUGCAUUGAAAAUAUUUUCUAAUUUUCUUGUCAUUCAAUAAAAUUCAAUUGCUGUGAAAA
Musca domestica (house fly) is the source of this 342-nucleotide long non-coding RNA. RefSeq lists it as uncharacterized. Lineage: Eukaryota; Metazoa; Arthropoda; Insecta; Diptera; Muscidae. The record is from RefSeq and is a predicted model, not a curated record. The transcript is spliced from 2 exons.